Nycticebus coucang (slow loris) is the source of this 1462-nucleotide RNA transcript. It is a transcript of the gene named 60S ribosomal protein L5-like, with no coding region annotated. NCBI's taxonomy places the organism in Eukaryota, Metazoa, Chordata, Mammalia, Primates, Lorisidae. The record is from RefSeq and is a predicted model, not a curated record. The transcript has a single exon.
CAGUAUGCUUAUGCUUCUGUUUAGUGUGGAAAAUAUUUUUGAAAGAAUGGAUCUCUGGUUUGGUAACUUAGCAAAACUCUUUUUGAAGGAGCCUUGUUAGGCAUAUUUUCAGAGUAGUUAGUACCUACAGUAUUUUAUUUUUAGGGUACUUUGUUAUGGUGAAAGCUGUUUUUUUGUUUUUUAUUUGGAAAUAAUUUUAAAUUUACAAAAGUACAAAAAUAAAAAUAGUACAAAGGACAUCAGUAUACCAUUUAUCCAGAUUCAUGUAUUAUUGUUAACACUUUACUCUGGCUGGCUUUAUCAUUUGCAGAGGUGUGCGUGUGUAUGUGUGUAUGUGAGGGAGAGAUUCUUUUCCUGAAUAAUUUGAGAAUAAGUUACAUAAUCAAGGCUCUUAACCCCCAAAUACUUUAGUGUGAUUUCUUAAGAAUGCCUAUCCCCCUCCCCUGCAGUGCUGUUGGGCCUGCAAGUUUGUGUGGGGCCACAGACACAGGUCUCUUAUUUUGCAGGAUGGGGUUUGUUAAAGUUGUCAAGAAUAAGGCCUAGUUUAAGGGAUACCAAGUGAAAUUUAGAAGAUGACAAGAGGGUAAAACUGAUUACUAUGCUUGGAAACACUUGGUAAUGCAAGAUAAAAAAAAGUACAACACACCCAAAUAUAGAAUGAUAGUUCAUGUGACUAACAGAGACGUCAUUUGUCAGAUUGCGUAUGCCCGUGUUGAAGGGGGAUAUGAUAGUCUGCGCAGCUUAUGCACAUGAACUACCAAAAAACGGUCUGCAGGUUGGCCGACAAAUUAUGGUGCAGCAUACUGUACUGGCCUGCUGCUGGCCCUCAGGCUCUUCAGUAGGUUUGGCAUGGACAAGAUCUAUGAAGGUCAAACGGAGGUGACUGGUGAUGAAUACAAUGUGGAAAGCAUUGAUGGCCAGCCUGGUGGUUUCACAUGCUAUUUGGAUGCAGGCCUGGCCAGGACUACCACUGGCGAUAAAGUUUUUGGGGCCCUGAAGGGAGGCUGUGGAUAGAGGCUUAUCUAUCCCUCACUGUACCAAACUAUUCCCUGGUUAUGAUUCUGAAAGCAAGGAAUUUAAUGCUGAAGUACAUUGGAAGCAUUAUCAUGGGACAGAAUGUUGCGCAUUAUAUGCGUUACUAAAUGGAAGAAGAUGAAAAUGCUUACAGAAAACAGUUCUCUCAAUACAUAAAGAACAACGUCACUCCAGACAUGAUGGAGGAGAUGUAUAAGAAAGCUCAUGCGGCUAUACGAGAUAACCCAGUCUAUGAGAAGAAGCCCAAGAGAGAAGUUAAAAAGGAGAGAUGGAACCGUCUCAAAAUGUCCCUUGCCCGGAAGAGAGAUCGGGUAGCUCAAAAGAAGGCAAGCUUCCUUAGAGCUCAGAAGCAAGCUGCUGGAAGCUAAACCAAACAGCAAUUUUAUAUAAGUGUUUUCUGAUUUGAAACAACAAACUUAUUAAGCAA